UACGUAGGGGGCAAGCGUUGUCCGGAAUCAUUGGGCGUAAAGAGCGUGUAGGCGGUCCGGUAAGUCGGUUGUGAAAGUCCAGGGCUCAACCCUGGGAUGCCGGUCGAUACUGCCGGACUAGAGUUCGGAAGAGGCGAGUGGAAUUCCCGGUGUAGCGGUGAAAUGCGCAGAUAUCGGGAGGAACACCUAUGGCGAAGGCAGCUCGCUGGGACGUUACUGACGCUGAGACGCGAAAGCGUGGGGAGCAAACAGG
RNAcentral lists this ribosomal RNA (253 nucleotides) under uncultured bacterium. RNAcentral describes it as "partial 16S ribosomal RNA". It matches the Rfam family "Bacterial small subunit ribosomal RNA", at positions 524 to 776 of the family's 1533-position model. The record is from RNAcentral.